GUCCACGCCGUAAACGAUGAGUGCUAGUUGUGGUGGGUAUUGACCCCUGCAGUGACGACGCUAACGCAAUAAGCACUCCGCCUGGGAAGUACGGUCGCAAGAUUAAAACUCAAAGGAAUUGACGGGGGCCCCGCACAAGCGGUGGAGCAUGUGGUUUAAUUCGACGCAACGCGCAGAACCUUACCCAGACUUGACAUGCCGAAGAUCCAGCCGAAAAGUGGGAGUGCCCGCAAGGGAAUUCGGACACAGGUGCUGCAUGGCUGUCGU
Molecule: ribosomal RNA, 267 nt
Filed under: uncultured bacterium
Lineage: Bacteria
Description: partial 16S ribosomal RNA
Rfam family: Bacterial small subunit ribosomal RNA
Source: RNAcentral